GCGACCCCAGGUCAGGCGGGACUACCCGCUGAGUUUAAGCAU
This 42-nucleotide ribosomal RNA is filed under the name Sedum rupestre. RNAcentral describes it as "partial 26S ribosomal RNA". RNAcentral also lists the same sequence under 6 other names. Lineage: Eukaryota; Viridiplantae; Streptophyta; Magnoliopsida; Saxifragales; Crassulaceae. The record is from RNAcentral.